GGGGCAGGGUGAGUCGGCCCCUAAGGCGAGGCUGAAAAGCGUAGUCGAUGGGAAACGGGUUAAUAUUCCCGUACUUGGUAAAGCUGCGAUGUGGGGACGGAGAAGGUUAGGUUAGCAGACUGUUGGAUGUCUGUUUAAGUUGGUAGGUGGGGAGUUUAGGCAAAUCCGGACUUCCAUAACACUGAGAGAUGAUGACGAGUUUCUACGGAAAUGAAGUAACUGAUACCACGCUUCCAGGAAAAGCCACUAAGCGAAAGGCUUUACUAAACCGUACUGAAAACCGACACAGGUGGUCAGGUAGAGAAUACUCAGGCGCUUGAGAGAACUCGGGUGAAGGAACUAGGCAAAAUAGCACCGUAACUUCGGGAGAAGGUGCGCUGGCGUAGGUUGUAGGAGUAUACCUCCGAAGGCUGAACCAGUCGAAGAUACCAGCUGGCUGCAACUGUUUAUUAAAAACACAGCACUCUGCAAACACGAAAGUGGACGUAUAGGGUGUGAUGCCUGCCCGGUGCUGGAAGGUUAAUUGAUGGUGUAAUCGAAAGAGAAGCUCCUGAUCGAAGCCCCAGUAAACGGCGGCCGUAACUAUAACGGUCCUAAGGUAGCGAAAUUCCUUGUCGGGUAAGUUCCGACCUGCACGAAUGGCAUAAUGAUGGCCAGGCUGUCUCCACCCGAGACUCAGUGAAAUUGAAAUCGCCGUGAAGAUGCGGUGUACCCGCGGCUAGACGGAAAGACCCCGUGAACCUUUACUAUAGCUUGACACUGAACAUUGAAUUUUGAUGUGUAGGAUAGGUGGGAGCCUAAGAAGCAGUCACGCCAGUGAUUGUGGAGGCGUCCUUGAAAUACCACCCUUUAACGUUUGAUGUUCUAACGAAGAUUGCGAAACGCGGUCUCGGACAGUGUCUGGUGGGUAGUUUGACUGGGGCGGUCUCCUCCCAAAGAGUAACGGAGGAGCACGAAGGUUUGCUAAUCACGGUCGGACAUCGUGAGGUUAGUGCAAUGGUAUAAGCAAGCUUAACUGCGAGACAGACAAGUC
This 1033-nucleotide ribosomal RNA is filed under the name Glaesserella parasuis. RNAcentral describes it as "partial 23S ribosomal RNA". It matches the Rfam family "Bacterial large subunit ribosomal RNA", at positions 1371 to 2390 of the family's 2925-position model. Lineage: Bacteria; Pseudomonadati; Pseudomonadota; Gammaproteobacteria; Pasteurellales; Pasteurellaceae. The record is from RNAcentral.